CGCGGCCUAUCAGCUUGUUGGUGAGGUAACGGCUCACCAAGGCAUCGACGGGUAGCUGGUCUGAGAGGACGAUCAGCCACACUGGGACUGAGACACGGCCCAGACUCCUACGGGAGGCAGCAGUAGGGAAUAUUGCGCAAUGGGCGAAAGCCUGACGCAGCAACGCCGCGUGGGGGAUGAAUGCCUUCGGGUUGUAAACCCCUUUCAGCAGGGACGAAAAUGACGGUACCUGCAGAAGAAGCUCCGGCCAACUACGUGCCAGCAGCCGCGGUAAUACGUAGGGAGCGAGCGUUGUCCGGAAUUAUUGGGCGUAAAGAGCUCGUAGGCGGUUCAGUAAGUCGGGUGUGAAAACUCAAGGCUCAACCUUGAGACGCCACUCGAUACUGCUGUGACUUGAGUCCGGUAGAGGAGUGUGGAAUUCCUGGUGUAGCGGCGAAAUGCGCAGAUAUCAGGAGGAACACCAGCGGCGAAGGCGGCACUCUGGGCCGGUACUGACGCUGAGGAGCGAAAGCAUGGGGAGCAAACAGGAUUAGAUACCCUGGUAGUCCAUGCCGUAAACGUUGGGCACUAGGUAUGGGAUCAUAUCAACGGAUUCCGUGCCGUAGCUAACGCAUUAAGUGCCCCGCCUGGGGAGUACGG
Molecule: ribosomal RNA, 639 nt
Filed under: uncultured Actinomycetes bacterium
Lineage: Bacteria; Bacillati; Actinomycetota; Actinomycetes
Description: bacterial SSU rRNA
Rfam family: Bacterial small subunit ribosomal RNA
Source: RNAcentral